Molecule: ribosomal RNA, 434 nt
Filed under: uncultured Lachnospiraceae bacterium
Lineage: Bacteria; Bacillati; Bacillota; Clostridia; Lachnospirales; Lachnospiraceae
Description: bacterial SSU rRNA
Rfam family: Bacterial small subunit ribosomal RNA
Source: RNAcentral
ACGGAAGGCAGCAGUGGGGAAUAUUGGACAAUGGGGGAAACCCUGAUCCAGCGACGCCGCGUGAGUGAAGAAGUAUUUCGGUAUGUAAAGCUCUAUCAGCAAGGAAGAAAAUGACGGUACUUGACUAAGAAGCCCCGGCUAACUACGUGCCAGCAGCCGCGGUAAUACGUAGGGGGCAAGCGUUAUCCGGAUUUACUGGGUGUAAAGGGAGCGUAGACGGUAUGGCAAGUCUGAAGUGAAAUGCAUGGGCUCAACCCAUGAACUGCUUUGGAAACUGUCAAACUAGAGUGCAGGAGAGGUAAGUGGAAUUCCUAGUGUAGCGGUGAAAUGCGUAGAUAUUAGGAGGAACACCAGUGGCGAAGGCGGCUUACUGGACGAUAACUGACGUUGAGGCUCGAAAGCGUGGGGAGCAAACAGGAUUAGAUACCCUGGUA